This 253-nucleotide ribosomal RNA is filed under the name uncultured bacterium. RNAcentral describes it as "partial 16S ribosomal RNA". It matches the Rfam family "Bacterial small subunit ribosomal RNA", at positions 524 to 776 of the family's 1533-position model. The record is from RNAcentral.
UACGGAGGAUCCAAGCGUUAUCCGGAAUCAUUGGGUUUAAAGGGUCCGUAGGCGGUUUAAUAAGUCAGUGGUGAAAGCCCAUCGCUCAACGGUGGAACGGCCAUUGAUACUGUUAAACUUGAAUUAUUAGGAAGUAACUAGAAUAUGUAGUGUAGCGGUGAAAUGCUUAGAGAUUACAUGGAAUACCAAUUGUGAAGGCAGGUUACUACUAAUGGAUUGACGCUGAUGGACGAAAGCGUGGGUAGCGAACAGG